GAGUUUGAUCUUGGCUCAGGAUGAACGCCGGCGGUGUGCCUAAUACAUGCAAGUCGUACGCACUGGCCCAACUGAUUGAUGGUGCUUGCACCUGAUUGACGAUGGAUCACCAGUGAGUGGCGGACGGGUGAGUAACACGUAGGUAACCUGCCCCGGAGCGGGGGAUAACAUUUGGAAACAGAUGCUAAUACCGCAUAACAACAAAGGCCACAUGGCUUUUGUUUGAAAGAUGGCUUUGGCCAUCACUCUGGGAUGGACCUGCGGUGCAUUAGCUAGUUGGUAAGGUAACGGCUUACCAAGGCGAUGAUGCAUAGCCGAGUUGAGAGACUGAUCGGCCACAAUGGAACUGAGACACGGUCCAUACUCCUACGGGAGGCAGCAGUAGGGAAUCUUCCACAAUGGGCGCAAGCCUGAUGGAGCAACACCGCGUGAGUGAAGAAGGUUUCGGCUCGUAAAGCUCUGUUGUUGGAGAAGAACGUGUGUGAGAGU
Molecule: ribosomal RNA, 489 nt
Filed under: uncultured microorganism
Description: bacterial SSU rRNA
Rfam family: Bacterial small subunit ribosomal RNA
Source: RNAcentral